UAAUUCUUCACCUCAACUUGAAAAGUUC
Molecule: non-coding RNA, 28 nt
Filed under: Rattus norvegicus (Norway rat)
Lineage: Eukaryota; Metazoa; Chordata; Mammalia; Rodentia; Muridae
Source: RNAcentral